CCCGUGACGUCAGCGCGCAGCGUCACGCCGGGAGGGACGCAUGAAAGUUUGUCAAGCAGCAACCACCCAAACUGCAUCCUCUGUACCAAAAGCCAUCUAAGGAAGCCCAGCAGAUGGUCUAGCUGCUGUGAAACAAAGAGUUGCUUUCAUUCUUAAAUUUGUUUCCUCAGCUCUUUUCAUUUGGUAACUCUGUAAUAGAACAUUUGACCUUUACAAAGAUCAAAAUGUAAAUAAUGUUCUUUUCAUGUUGUUCUUUAGCAACCAUUUAAAAAGUCAAAUAACAUUAAAGUCCUUUUUUACUUUUAAAA
Non-coding RNA from Podarcis muralis (Common wall lizard), 308 nucleotides. Lineage: Eukaryota; Metazoa; Chordata; Lepidosauria; Squamata; Lacertidae. The record is from RefSeq and is a predicted model, not a curated record.